GUGGGGAAUUUUGGACAAUGGGCGAAAGCCUGAUCCAGCAAUGCCGCGUGUGUGAAGAAGGCCUUCGGGUUGUAAAGCACUUUUGUCCGGAAAGAAAUCUGUCUGGCUAAUACCUAGAUGGGAUGACGGUACCGGAAGAAUAAGCACCGGCUAACUACGUGCCAGCAGCCGCGGUAAUACGUAGGGUGCGAGCGUUAAUCGGAAUUACUGGGCGUAAAGCGUGCGCAGGCGGUUUUGUAAGACCGAUGUGAAAUCCCCGGGCUUAACCUGGGAACUGCAUUGGUGACUGCAAGGCUAGAGUGCGUCAGAGGGGGGUGGAAUUCCGCGUGUAGCAGUGAAAUGCGUAGAGAUGCGGAGGAACACCGAUGGCGAAGGCAGCCCCCUGGGAUGACACUGACGCUCAUGCACGAAAGCGUGGGGAGCAAACAGGAUUAGAUACCCUGGUAGUCC
RNAcentral lists this ribosomal RNA (450 nucleotides) under uncultured bacterium. RNAcentral describes it as "partial 16S ribosomal RNA". It matches the Rfam family "Bacterial small subunit ribosomal RNA", at positions 354 to 796 of the family's 1533-position model. The record is from RNAcentral.